Molecule: ribosomal RNA, 474 nt
Filed under: uncultured bacterium
Lineage: Bacteria
Description: bacterial SSU rRNA
Rfam family: Bacterial small subunit ribosomal RNA
Source: RNAcentral
ACUCCUACGGGAGGCAGCAGUGGGGAAUAUUGCACAAUGGGCGCAAGCCUGAUGCAGCCAUGCCGCGUGUAUGAAGAAGGCCUUCGGGUUGUAAAGUACUUUCAGCAGUGAGGAAGGUGGGUAUGUUAAUAGCAUAUUCAUUUGACGUUAGCUGCAGAAGAAGCACCGGCUAACUCCGUGCCAGCAGCCGCGGUAAUACGGAGGGUGCGAGCGUUAAUCGGAAUUACUGGGCGUAAAGCGCAUGCAGGUGGUUUGUUAAGUCAGAUGUGAAAGCCCCGGGGCUCAACCUCGGAAUUGCAUUUGAAACUGGCAAACUAGAGUACUGUAGAGGGGGGUAGAAUUUCAGGUGUAGCGGUGAAAUGCGUAGAGAUCUGAAGGAAUACCGGUGGCGAAGGCGGCCCCCUGGACAGAUACUGACACUCAGAUGCGAAAGCGUGGGGAGCAAACAGGAUUAGAUACCCCCGUAGGCUCUGC